This 290-nucleotide small RNA is filed under the name Bradyrhizobium sp. STM 3843. Its description in RNAcentral is "5' ureB small RNA". It matches the Rfam family "5' ureB small RNA". Lineage: Bacteria; Pseudomonadati; Pseudomonadota; Alphaproteobacteria; Hyphomicrobiales; Nitrobacteraceae. The record is from Rfam by way of RNAcentral.
CCUCCUCGAUCUGCUGCGGGCAGAUGAAAUGGAUGUGCGUAUCGAUGCCUCCCGCGGUGACGAUCUUGCCUUCCCCGGCGAUGAUCUCGGUGCCGGGCCCAAUGACGAUUCCGACGUCGGGCUGCACGUCGGGAUUGCCCGCCUUGCCGAUGGCCGCGAUCAGUCCGUCCCUGAUCGCGAUGUCGGCCUUCACGAUGCCCCAGUAAUCGAGGAUCAGGGCGUUGGUGAUGACGGUAUCGACCGCUCCCUCGCUACGUGAGCGCUGCGAUUGACCCAUGCCGUCGCGGAUG